AGGACAGACACUCUCUGGCAGCCAUCUUUGACCCAACCACUUUCUGCUCAGCGGGAUCACCAAAGCAAGACUCCACAUAAUUGAUUUUGUAGGGCUAAGAGUAGCAGACCCAGUAACAGAGCAGCAAAUGGAUUCAAAAGACGCACAGAACACAAAGAAAGCUGUGUGAAUUACAGUCUCAUCAGAGAAUGGUCAAUGACCACCAAAAGACCACUGUAAAGGAAGACACUCAGGUUGAGGGAGGCCCAGACUGGCCGGCCUGUGGCAGGUGGUGCUAGAACAGGGACUCCAGCAGAGUCCCUUACUGCAUCGCACAACUUCAGGACAUAAACAAAACUAACGUGGAAAAAAAGAGACACUACAAAAUUUAAUUCUGACACUGUAAAAUGAAACCAGAGGUGGCCAUUUCCAAAGCAUACUGUAAAAGCUGGAGAGGUGAACUGACUCAUCCUCAUCAAAAGUGCCUGUGGGGACUGUGUAUCUAGGAGUGAACAGCCGUGGAGAUACCGGGCUGAAGCAGGGGACUAUGAUUUCCCUCACGCUGUGGUAGAGCCACGGUUUUACCAGCUGCAGGCAAACCAGAUGCCAAAAAUCAAGAGUCCAAGGAGGAUCAGCGUUACCAGGACAGCCGCCACGAUGCCCCCCACAUUCAGCUCCACUGUGAGACACAAAGGAGAGGUCACUCGCCUUCAUAUGCAGCUGUGGUGCUGACGACGAUGCUGUCAUGAGCCACGUGCAAGCCUCUGAUCACACCCCAAGCUCUAAUCUUAGGCCCCAGUCACAUUCUCACUCACCAGCUUCCAUGCGUACAGCCUCUGACCUCAUGGCUGUCCCAUACCCAUUGUGGGCCUGGCAGUAGUAUUCACCACUAUCAAAGGCUGUCACAGGGUCAAAGAUCUAGAGGGAAGAGAACAAACUGGCUCCUUGCUCAAUAAACCAGACACCCAUCCUA
Long non-coding RNA from Mastomys coucha (southern multimammate mouse), 952 nucleotides. RefSeq lists it as uncharacterized. The transcript has 6 exons. The record is from RefSeq and is a predicted model, not a curated record. Lineage: Eukaryota; Metazoa; Chordata; Mammalia; Rodentia; Muridae.